UCCGCACACAUUCAGACACCACCUGUCCACGUAUGUAUUUCAUUUUCCCUCACAGUACUACAAAAUUUGUACACGCUGUAUAUAAACAUGGUCCAUUUGAACGUCCAUCAUGUCUCAAUUCAUUCACCCACACUCAUUUGGGUCUGUCCACCAAUGCACAUUUCGACAGGCAUCCGUCUCCGUUCACUUUGCUCAAGUAAACAUGGCCUGUCCAUUGAGUCACCUACGUCAUGGAACCGCCCAUUUAGACAGAUCAAGCGUGAGCGAGCACAUGCUCCCUGGAAAGGAUUCUAGGAGAGCACGCCGGUUCUACUACGCAGCCGAACAGCGGAGAGAUCAUCUUCAACUGGGAGUGAUGAAUUAACAUCUUCAAGCACACACGCUUGGCCUCGCACUUGGACUCGUGAUCAAAUGUGAGAGGAUCUUCUUUUCCUUUCAGCAAAGUGACGUUACAAGACAGCAAAAGUGCAAGAAGAGGUAUGAAAGAGCACUUGAAAACUUGGGAUUGCAUAUACCGGCCUUUUUUCAAGGUACCGCGUACUUUUGAAGGGUGCCGAUACCAGUCACUGAUACGUAAAG
This is a long non-coding RNA of Hippocampus comes (tiger tail seahorse), 579 nucleotides long. RefSeq lists it as uncharacterized. NCBI's taxonomy places the organism in Eukaryota, Metazoa, Chordata, Actinopteri, Syngnathiformes, Syngnathidae. The transcript is spliced from 2 exons. The record is from RefSeq and is a predicted model, not a curated record.